AGUGAACGCUGGCGGUAGGCCUAACACAUGCAAGUCGAACGGCAGCACAGUAAGAGCUUGCUCUUACGGGUGGCGAGUGGCGGACGGGUGAGGAAUACAUCGGAAUCUACUUUUUCGUGGGGGAUAACGUAGGGAAACUUACGCUAAUACCGCAUACGACCUACGGGUGAAAGCAGGGGAUCUUCGGACCUUGCGCGAUUGAAUGAGCCGAUGUCGGAUUAGCUAGUUGGCGGGGUAAAGGCCCACCAAGGCGACGAUCCGUAGCUGGUCUGAGAGGAUGAUCAGCCACACUGGAACUGAGACACGGUCCAGACUCAGACGGGAGGCAGCAGUGGGGAAUAUUGGACAAUGGGCGCAAGCCUGAUCCAGCCAUACCGCGUGGGUGAAGAAGGCCUUCGGGUUGUAAAGCCAUUUUGUUGGGAAAGAAAAGCAGCAGGUUAAGACCCCGCUGUUCUGACGGUACCCAAAGAAUAAGCACCGGCGAACUUCGU
RNAcentral lists this ribosomal RNA (491 nucleotides) under uncultured bacterium. RNAcentral's name for it is "partial 16S ribosomal RNA". It matches the Rfam family "Bacterial small subunit ribosomal RNA", at positions 29 to 506 of the family's 1533-position model. The record is from RNAcentral.